Molecule: ribosomal RNA, 774 nt
Filed under: uncultured Neocallimastigales
Lineage: Eukaryota; Fungi; Neocallimastigomycota; Neocallimastigomycetes; Neocallimastigales
Description: partial large subunit ribosomal RNA
Rfam family: Eukaryotic large subunit ribosomal RNA
Source: RNAcentral
UAGUCUCGCACAGAUGCAUAUCAAUAAGCGGAGGAAAAGAAACUAACAAGGAUUCCCUUAGUAACGGCGAGUGAAGCGGGAAGAGCUCAAAUUUGAAAUCUUCAAGGUUUUACCUUGACGAAUUGUAGUUUAAAGAAGUGUUUUCUGUUGAAGUUUUGGUAAAAGUUCUUUGGAAUAGGACAUCAUAGAGGGUGAGAAUCCCGUAUUUGACCAUUAUUUUCAGCUGUGUCGAUACACUUUCAAAGAGUCGGAUUGUUUGGGAAUGCAGUCCAAAAUGGGUGGUAAAUUUCAUCUAAAGCUAAAUAUUGGCGAGAGACCGAUAGCGAACAAGUACCGUGAGGGAAAGAUGAAAAGAACUUUGAAAAGAGAGUUAAACAGUACGUGAAAUUGUCAAAAGGGAAGCGUUUGACACCAGUGUUGUUUUCUCGAAAAUCAAUUAAAAAGAGUUAGAUUUUGUUGUGUAUUGACCUUAACAGCUUGCAUUUCAAUUUUCUUGCUUUUUUUAAUGCACUUUUCGUUUAACAAGUCAACAUCAGUUUCUUUUGUUGUAAAAAGGUCAUUGGAAGGUGGCUUUCUUUUCGGAGAAAGUGUUUAUAGCCUUUGACUCCUGCAAUCGGAGAGACUGAGGUCUGCAGCGUAGAUCCUUCGGGGUUAGAUACAUUUGUGCUAAGUUAUAGCUUUUUAUAGACAACUUGUUGACUAUGAUUAGUCUUGUAGCUUACUCGCUUAUGCUAUUUUACCUACGCUUAGGAUGUUGAAGAUGUAGCACAUCAU